This 440-nucleotide ribosomal RNA is filed under the name uncultured bacterium. RNAcentral describes it as "partial 16S ribosomal RNA". It matches the Rfam family "Bacterial small subunit ribosomal RNA", at positions 338 to 795 of the family's 1533-position model. The record is from RNAcentral.
CCUACGGGAGGCAGCAGUGGGGAAUAUUGCACAAUGGGGGAAACCCUGAUGCAGCGACGCCGCGUGAGUGAAGAAGUAUCUCGGUGCGUAAAGCUCUAUCUGCAGGGAAGCAAAUGACGGUACCUGACUCAGUAUCCCCGGCUAACUACGUACCAGCAGCCGCGGUAAUACGUAGGGGGCAAGCGUUAUCCGGAUUUACUGGGGGUUAAGGGAGCGUAGUCGGGAGCACAAGUCCGGAGUGAAAUCCCGGGGCUUAACCCCGGAACUGCCGUGGAAACUGUGGGGCUGGAGUGGAGGAGGGGUAAGCGGAAUUCCCAGUGUAGCGGUGAAAUGCGUAGAUAUUAGGAGGAACACCGGUGGCGAAGGCGGCUUACUGGACUGGAACUGACGUUGAGGCUCGAAAGCGUGGGGAGCAAACAGGAUUAGAUACCCCGGUAGUC